Molecule: ribosomal RNA, 929 nt
Filed under: uncultured Nitrospirota bacterium
Lineage: Bacteria; Pseudomonadati; Nitrospirota
Description: bacterial SSU rRNA
Rfam family: Bacterial small subunit ribosomal RNA
Source: RNAcentral
AGGGUUUGAUCCUGGCUCAGAACGAACGCUGGCGGCGCGCCUAAUACAUGCAAGUCGAGCGAGAAGGUGUAGCAAUACACUGGUACAGCGGCGAACGGGUGAGGAAUACAUGGGUAACCUACCCUCGAGUGGGGAAUAACUAGCCGAAAGGUUAGCUAAUACCGCAUACGAUUCCCGAAUUGCGGUUCGGGAAAGAAAGCCAUACCGUGGGUAUGGCGCUCCUGGAUGGGCUCAUGUCCUAUCAGCUUGUUGGUGAGGUAACGGCUCACCAAGGCUUCGACGGGUAGCUGGUCUGAGAGGACGAUCAGCCACACUGGCACUGCGACACGGGCCAGACUUCUACGGGAGGCAGCAGUAAGGAAUAUUGCGCAAUGGGCGACAGCCUGACGCAGCGACGCCGCGUGGGGGAUGAAGGUCUUCGGAUUGUAAACCCCUUUCGGGAGGGAAGAGGGAAUGGGGUAACCCAUUCGGACGGUACCUCCAGAAGCAGCCACGGCUAACUUCGUGCCAGCAGCCGCGGUAAUACGAAGGUGGCAAGCGUUGUUCGGAUUCACUGGGCGUACAGGGAGCGUAGGCGGUUGGGUAAGCCCUCCGUGAAAUCUCCGGGCCUAACCCGGAAAGUGCAGAGGGGACUGCUCGGCUUGAGGACGGGAGAGGAGCGCGGAAUUCCCGGUGUAGCGGUGAAAUGCGUAGAGAUCGGGAGGAAGGCCGGUGGCGAAGGCGGCGCUCUGGAACGUUUCUGACGCUGAGGCUCGAAAGCGUGGGGAGCAAACAGGAUUAGAUACCCUGGUAGUCCACGCCUUAAACUAUGGAUACUAAGUGUCGGCGGGUUACCGCCGGUGCCGCAGCUAACGCAUUAAGUAUCCCGCCUGGGAAGUACGGCCGCAAGGUUGAAACUCAAGGAAUUGACGGGGCCCGCACAAGCGGUG